UUAAGAUUUUAUUGCGGAAGGGGGUUGCAAUGUUAUCAUUCACUUCAGUUUUGUAACUGCAGCAUGUAUGGCAUCUGCAAGAUGGGGUACAGUCCUGGAGCUCAAACCAGCCAUGCUGAUCCUCCUGCAAGACAAUGUCAUGUAAAUGUGAUAUUCCUGCCUCAUAAAGGCUACUUGAUCACUGUUGAGCCCAGUGAAAGUAAACAUCCCAAUCUGCUUAAUGAUGUGGGACCAAUCUCCAGAGUACCUCUGAUUUUCAGCGCAUUAAAAAGCUGCUCCCUCAUGCUAAUUAUCCUAUCAGCCAUGGCCUUCAGCUCCAGAGUCCAUUCGUCGAACAUCGCACUAAAAAUU
This 351-nucleotide ribosomal RNA is filed under the name Triticum aestivum (bread wheat). Its description in RNAcentral is "partial small subunit ribosomal RNA". Lineage: Eukaryota; Viridiplantae; Streptophyta; Magnoliopsida; Poales; Poaceae. The record is from RNAcentral.